Small nuclear RNA from Dipodomys ordii (Ord's kangaroo rat), 107 nucleotides. NCBI's taxonomy places the organism in Eukaryota, Metazoa, Chordata, Mammalia, Rodentia, Heteromyidae. The record is from Ensembl.
AUGCUCAAUUCAUCAGCAUAUAUGCUAUAAUUGGAAUAAUACAGAGAAGAUUAGCAUGGCCCCUGCACAAGGAUGACAUGUAAAUUCGUGAAGCGUUCCAUAUUCUU